GCCAGGCAUGGUGGCGCAUGCCUGUAGUCCCAGCUGUUCAGGAGGCUGAGGCAGGAGAAUCACUUGAACCCGGGAGGUGGAGGUUGCAGUGAGCCAAGAUUGUGCCACUGUACUCCAGCCUGGGUGACAGAGUGAGACUCUGUCUCAA
Pongo abelii (Sumatran orangutan) is the source of this 148-nucleotide unclassified non-coding RNA. It matches the Rfam family "Metazoan signal recognition particle RNA". Rfam says of the family: The signal recognition particle (SRP) is a universally conserved ribonucleoprotein. It is involved in the co-translational targeting of proteins to membranes. The record is from Ensembl. Lineage: Eukaryota; Metazoa; Chordata; Mammalia; Primates; Hominidae.